UGGGAUGAGGGCAGGACCCCGGAUAUUGUACUUGACCGACGCACACAUAAUGGCACAGACAGCCUCUUCCUCACGCUCCUGGGCCAAGGCUGCCUCCUGC
This is a long non-coding RNA of Myotis brandtii (Brandt's bat), 100 nucleotides long. RefSeq lists it as uncharacterized. The transcript is spliced from 3 exons. The record is from RefSeq and is a predicted model, not a curated record. Lineage: Eukaryota; Metazoa; Chordata; Mammalia; Chiroptera; Vespertilionidae.